GACGAACGCUGGCGGCGUGCCUAAUACAUGCAAGUUGAGCGCUGAAGGUUGGUACUUGUACCGACUGGAUGAGCAGCGAACGGGUGAGUAACGCGUGGGGAAUCUGCCUUUGAGCGGGGGACAACAUUUGGAAACGAAUGCUAAUACCGCAUAAAAACUUUAAACACAAGUUUUAAGUUUGAAAGAUGCAGUUGCAUCACUCAAAGAUGAUCCCGCGUUGUAUUAGCUAGUUGGUGAGGUAAAGGCUCACCAAGGCGAUGAUACAUAGCCGACCUGAGAGGGUGAUCGGCCACAUUGGGACUGAGACACGGCCCAAACUCCUACGGGAGGCAGCAGUAGGGAAUCUUCGGCAAUGGACGAAAGUCUGACCGAGCAACGCCGCGUGAGUGAAGAAGGUUUUCGGAUCGUAAAACUCUGUUGGUAGAGAAGAAAGUUGGUGAGAGUGGAAAGCUCAUCAAGUGACGGUAACUACCCAGAAAGGGACGGCUAACUACGUG
RNAcentral lists this ribosomal RNA (497 nucleotides) under uncultured bacterium. Its description in RNAcentral is "partial 16S ribosomal RNA". It matches the Rfam family "Bacterial small subunit ribosomal RNA", at positions 28 to 507 of the family's 1533-position model. The record is from RNAcentral.